GGGCUUGCCCUGGGGCAAAGCAGCGAACGGGUGAGUAACACGUGGGUAACCUGCCCCGAUGACCGGGACAACCCGAGGAAACUCGGGCUAAUACCGGAUGUUUCCCCUGAACUCAAGUCCAGAGGGAAAAGGAAGCUUCGGCCUCCGCAUUGGGAGGGGCCCGCGGCCCAUUAGCUUGUUGGUGAGGUAACGGCUCACCAAGGCAACGAUGGGUAGCUGGUCUGAGAGGACGAUCAGCCACACUGGGACUGAGACACGGCCCAGACUCCUACGGGAGGCAGCAGUGGGGAAUCUUGCGCAAUGCGCGAAAGCGUGACGCAGCAACGCCGCGUGGGGGAGGAAGGCCUUCGGGUUGUAAACCCCUUUCAGGAGGGACGAAGGUGCGACGGUGAACAGCCGCUCGCACUGACGGUACCUCCAGAAGAAGCUCCGGCUAACUACGUGCCAGCAGCCGCGGUAAUACGUAGGGAGCAAGCGUUGUCCGGAAUCAUUGGGCGUAAAGCGCGCGUAGGCGGCCCGGUAAGUCCGCUCUGAAAGUCCAGGGCUCAACCCUGGAAUGCGGGUGGAUACUGCCGGGCUAGAGUCCGGAAGAGGCGAGUGGAAUUCCUGGUGUAGCGGUGGAAUGCGCAGAUAUCAGGAGGAACACCAAUAGCGAAGGCAGCUCGCUGGGACGGUACUGACGCUAAGGCGCGAAAGCGUGGGGAGCGAA
RNAcentral lists this ribosomal RNA (709 nucleotides) under uncultured Actinomycetes bacterium. RNAcentral describes it as "bacterial SSU rRNA". It matches the Rfam family "Bacterial small subunit ribosomal RNA", at positions 76 to 772 of the family's 1533-position model. Lineage: Bacteria; Bacillati; Actinomycetota; Actinomycetes. The record is from RNAcentral.